This 425-nucleotide ribosomal RNA is filed under the name uncultured bacterium. RNAcentral describes it as "bacterial SSU rRNA". It matches the Rfam family "Bacterial small subunit ribosomal RNA", at positions 354 to 777 of the family's 1533-position model. The record is from RNAcentral.
GUGAGGAAUAUUGGUCAAUGGGCGCGAGCCUGAACCAGCCAAGUCGCGUGAGGGAUGACGGUCCUAUGGAUUGUAAACCUCUUUUGUCAGGGAGCAACGAUGCCACGUGUGGCAGAAGAGAGAGUACCUGAAGAAAAAGCAUCGGCUAACUCCGUGCCAGCAGCCGCGGUAAUACGGAGGAUGCGAGCGUUAUCCGGAUUUAUUGGGUUUAAAGGGUGCGUAGGCGGAAAGUUAAGUCAGCGGUAAAAUCGAGGGGCUCAACCCCUUCCGGCCGUUGAAACUGGUUUUCUUGAGUGAGCGAGAAGUAUGCGGAAUGCGUGGUGUAGCGGUGAAAUGCAUAGAUAUCACGCAGAACUCCGAUUGCGAAGGCAGCAUACCGGCGCUCAACUGACGCUGAGGCACGAAAGCGUGGGGAUCGAACAGGA